AACAUAAAUGAUUUUCAUAUAUUGAGGUUGUAAGUAUCGUGUAAUGCACCAUGCAACGUAAAUACUUAGGAGCCUAGAAUGAUAUAUUUUGAACUCUUCUUCAAGUAGAUUACUGCAUGGAAUGGGGCAUUACAUAAAUUUAUGUAAAUAUAUACGUGGUGACAAUUUUGGAAUGAUGAAAGUUUGACAAACUUGAAUUGAGUUGGUGUACCAGGUGGAGAACGUGACAAGUAAAGAGAAGCAAAUUAUAAAGUUGGUUUAGUCUAAGGCACUAGCGUGGAUAUAAUGAAUGUAAUAUAAAUGUAUACAAAGGUCGCACUUGUAUUGUUAAACUGAUAUUUUAUACAAUAAAGUUGUUUUGUCUCUUUCCUCCUGCCGCCGCAUCAUCAAGUAAGGGUGGACAAAUCUCAACACGUGUCGACACCUGAGUGGUUCCGUGUUUUUUUCUCCUGCUUUUGUUUCUUGCUUUGUUGAAUAAGAGAGUCUGAUGUGGGCUUUAUGGUAUUUGCGCAUGAAGCCCAAAGUGGAGCCCAGUCUCCUUCACUCUGUUUCAACCCACAAAUGUUUAGGGUUUUCUCCCAUUUUCUUCUCACGGCUCGAACUCACCGACGAAACCAAUGUUUGGCUCAGAUCGCCGUUCGGCGCCUCAGAUUUCCAUAUGGAGGCCACUACAAGCUCCUCCUUCGAACCGUCUUUGUCAUUUUUUUUUGGAAAAGCUCUCCGUCGUCUGUAUACUUCUCUGUUCCACUGAAGAAACCAGAACGAUAUGUAACGCUUUAUUCACAAUUGAGAACUCUAUUAAAUUUCACCAUUAAGUCACUCCGUCUAUCCCACUACUCGAAUUUAAUUACUACUCUUCCCAUCUUCUUUGCAAAUCCCUAAUUUUCCAUACUAUAAAUAGUGGUGCAGCCAUCUCCAUAUCUCAUCGUUUCACCAGAUUCAUCGUUUCGUCCUUAUAGUGUUGACGCGUCUCAUGCGUUUCUGGGAAGCAUGUUUUUGCUUGAUGAAAAGGUUUGCUUUCUUCGUGUGUUUCCCAAUUUUCAGUUAAAGCUUUUCCAAGGUUCCAUCUAUGUUCAUCGCCUUAAUACUUUCAAACAUCUCUGUUCAGUGGGUUUGAUGCUACGAGAAGCAACCACCACUUCAAGAAACAAAAUCACCUGUCACAAUAUGCUUCACUGACCUAACUAAGUUUGUUGAGAUUCCGGCAGGACCUGCUCCAGUACCCCUGGAGUUCUUUAGUUUUUGUCUUUAUGAGCAACUCAUGGAAUUGGCAAACAAAAAUACUCAAUUUUUAGGUCUGUCUUUUAACUUACAUUUGGAACAAAUCUAGAUGUUUUCCCGUUAAUAUAUCCACACUCUGUUACACUUUCUUUGCAUGCAUCAUAGGGGAGGUGACUCAGGUGAGCAACGUCAAUAUAACUUUUAAUGACGAAUCACAAACAACUCAACACAUAAUGGAGGCCAUCCAAAUUGACGGGCCAGCAAACUCCACCAGAACUUAGAUGGGGUUGGUGUGGAGCCUAAGGUCAUUAAUAUCAAAGAACAUUAAUCCAAAAUUUGUAGGAGGACGCUUAUAUUUGAAUGCAAUUUCAGGGACCAAUUUCCACUUCGACAAAGAACUUCGGUGAGGAUGGUGUCACCAGCUCUGCAAGUUAUACCAAAUAUGGAGAUGUUCAGAAAAUUGAAACUGUUACGGUGCUCAAGCUUAAUGCGUACGUGCUGAAAUCUCGCUGCAGGUUUCUGAGUUCCUUUGCACCAACAAAGUAGACGCCACUGAAACCACCAAUGGAUGGUGCUACAUUUUCUGCUACAAAUGUUCAAGAAAGCUACAGCGAGGAUUCCCUUCAUUCACAUGCACCUAUUGUCAUAACUCUAGCACUAUUGGUGUUGUCAGGUAUUGCCCGGUAGAUUUAUCUCACUUCUCACUUUUUAAAAUAUUCACUAAACAAGCCAUCUAACAUUCUCCCAUUGGCGUUUUAAAAUUUUGCAAACCGUGUGGAGAUUUGUGUCUCUGAUGCGAGAGAGUCAUCCAUGUUUGUUGUCAUCCAUGUUUGACUACAAAUUGGUAUUUCAAUAUUUACAUACACAAGCUACGUAAUGAUGUCUACAUUCUUUUCAUUAAAAUGCAGGCUGCAAGUGUUGCAGACCCUCUAGAGUCUGAGGUUUCACAAUUUCUCCAAGAAAUAGUUGUGAGACGUUUGAUUUUCAAUUGAAGCUUUUUGAGUUCA
This is a long non-coding RNA of Brassica napus (rape), 2228 nucleotides long. RefSeq lists it as uncharacterized. The record is from RefSeq and is a predicted model, not a curated record. The transcript is spliced from 5 exons. NCBI's taxonomy places the organism in Eukaryota, Viridiplantae, Streptophyta, Magnoliopsida, Brassicales, Brassicaceae.